AUAUUACUACUCAAAUGAAACAUAAAUUGCAUUUCCAUUUGUCCUAAUCAACUUCUUCAAUCUUAGGACCAGCACCAUUGUUGCCACCAGAUGAAGCAUUUCCAUAAGAUGCACCAUCUGCACCACCUCCCAUAGGCACAUCACCAGCACCACCACCACCUUGGUACAUCUUGGAAAUUAUUGGAUUACACAAACCUUCCA
Molecule: long non-coding RNA, 201 nt
Filed under: Arachis ipaensis
Lineage: Eukaryota; Viridiplantae; Streptophyta; Magnoliopsida; Fabales; Fabaceae
Description: long non-coding RNA (AIPA_LNC002114)
Source: RNAcentral